GACCUGAUGGCUUAACUGGUAGAGCACUGCAACGGCAUCGAAGAGGUCAGGGUUCGAGUCACUGUUCAGGUCU
RNAcentral lists this transfer RNA (73 nucleotides) under Acropora cervicornis. Its description in RNAcentral is "tRNA-OTHER". It matches the Rfam family "tRNA". Rfam says of the family: Transfer RNA (tRNA) molecules are approximately 80 nucleotides in length. Their secondary structure includes four short double-helical elements and three loops (D, anti-codon, and T loops). The record is from RNAcentral. Lineage: Eukaryota; Metazoa; Cnidaria; Anthozoa; Scleractinia; Acroporidae.